GUGAAUCAUCGAAUCUUUGAACGCACAUUGCGCCUCCUGUUACAGGGAGGCAUGCCUGUCUGAGCGUCUUUCAAACCAUAGGCUUAUUAGGGUCUGUGUUGAGCUUCGCCGUUUGGCGUUGUUUAAAAGGAAUUGCCUUAGAGCGGGUGAGAUCCAUUAGGACUGGCCGCUUUGGAGUGCUUUUUUUGAAGACUUGACCUCAGAUCAGGUAGGACUACCGCCUGAACUUAAGCAUAUCAAUAAGCGGAGGA
RNAcentral lists this unclassified non-coding RNA (251 nucleotides) under Archaeorhizomyces sp. RNAcentral describes it as "partial contains 5.8S ribosomal RNA, internal transcribed spacer 2, and large subunit ribosomal RNA". The stretch from base 1 to 69 matches the Rfam family "5.8S ribosomal RNA", at positions 84 to 154 of the family's 154-position model. The record is from RNAcentral. Lineage: Eukaryota; Fungi; Ascomycota; Archaeorhizomycetes; Archaeorhizomycetales; Archaeorhizomycetaceae.